This 578-nucleotide ribosomal RNA is filed under the name Lollius sp. MW-2016. RNAcentral's name for it is "eukaryotic LSU rRNA". It matches the Rfam family "Eukaryotic large subunit ribosomal RNA", at positions 647 to 1232 of the family's 3401-position model. Lineage: Eukaryota; Metazoa; Arthropoda; Insecta; Hemiptera; Nogodinidae. The record is from RNAcentral.
UCCCGUCUUUGAACACGGACCAAGGAGUCGUCUUCGUAUGCGAGUGUUCGGGUGUCAAACCCCUACGCGUAAUGAAAGUGAACGUAGGAGAGAGCUUCGGCGCAUCUCCGACCGAUCCUGAUGUUCUCGGAUGGAUUUGAGUAAGAGCAUACGGGGCCGGACCCGAAAGAAGGUGAACUAUGCCUGUAUAGGGUGAAGCCAGAGGAAACUCUGGUGGAGGCUCGCAGCGGUUCUGACGUGCAAAUCGAUCGUCAAAUAUGGGCAUGGGGGCGAAAGACUAAUCGAACCUUCUAGUAGCUGGUUUCCGCCGAAGUUUCCCUCAGGAUAGCAGUAUUGAACUCAGUUUUAUGAGGUAAAGCGAAUGAUUAGGGACCCGGGGGCUAUAUAUUGCCUUCAUCCAUUCUCAAACUUUAAAUAUGUAAGAAGCUCUUGUUGCUUAAUUGAACGUGAGCAUUCGAAUGUAUCAAUACUAGUGGGCCAUUUUUGGUAAGCAGAACUGGCGAUGCGGGAUGAACCGAACGCGAGGUUAAGGUGCCAGAGUAGACGCUCAUCAGACACCACAAAAGGUGUUAGUACAU